Molecule: long non-coding RNA, 403 nt
Filed under: Capsicum annuum
Lineage: Eukaryota; Viridiplantae; Streptophyta; Magnoliopsida; Solanales; Solanaceae
Description: long non-coding RNA (CANN_LNC009213)
Source: RNAcentral
AUUCAUCAAAUCUCUUAAAGCUUGGCGGUUUCAAAGGCUAACCAACAACAUGGGACCUGCUCAAUCGUUACUUGUGUUUUAUAACUCUUGUUGUUUUGAGUCUUUGUUUUGAGUCCGUGAACGUUGCCUACUACUCUAAGUUUAUCAUCAGUAGGUGCUCUUGGUUCCCAUUUUGUAAACAUGUCAUCUACGGUUAGUUGACAAAGAGCUAGAGUAGUUAGCUUUUUGAUUCAGUUAGAGUUGUUGGGUCAGUGUGCGAUAGAGUUCUUGCACUAAGUUUAUUGUAAUAGAGUUAUUACAAGUCCAAGAAGGAUUAGGAGUUUAAUCCUUGAUGUGAUGUAGUCUGUAUUCAAGGUUGCUUCAGUAUUAGUGAAUAAGCUGAUGGAAAUUAUCUUGUAGGCAG